Molecule: long non-coding RNA, 482 nt
Organism: Oncorhynchus tshawytscha (Chinook salmon)
Lineage: Eukaryota; Metazoa; Chordata; Actinopteri; Salmoniformes; Salmonidae
Source: Ensembl
GUAGACUAGUGGUUAGAGUGGAUCGGCGGCAGGGUAGACUAGUGGUUUGAGUGGAUCGGCGGCAGGGUAGACUAGUGGUUAGAGUGGAGGGGCGGCAGGGUAGACUAGUGGUUAGAGUGGAUCGGCGGCAGGGUAGACUAGUGGUUAGAGUGGAGUGGCGGCAGGGUAGACUAGUGGUUAGAGUGGAGUGGCGGCAGGGUAGACUAGUGGUUAGAGUGGAGUGGCGGCAGGGUAGACUAGUGGUUAGAGUGGAGUGGCGGCAGGGUAGACUAGUGGUUAGAGUGGAGGGGCGGCAGGGUAGCCUAGUGGUUGGAGUGGAGGGGCGGCAGGGUAGACUAGUGGUUAGAGUGGAGUGGCGGCAGGGUAGACUAGUGGUUAGAGUGGAGGGGCGGCAGGGUAGCCUAGUGGUUAGAGUGGAGGGGUGGCAGGGUAGCCUAGUGGUUAGAGUGGAGGGGCGAAAGGGUAGUCUAGUGGUUAGAAUG